RNAcentral lists this ribosomal RNA (301 nucleotides) under uncultured bacterium. RNAcentral describes it as "partial 16S ribosomal RNA". It matches the Rfam family "Bacterial small subunit ribosomal RNA", at positions 509 to 807 of the family's 1533-position model. The record is from RNAcentral.
CAGCAGCCGCGGUAAUACAGAGGGUGCGAGCGUUAAUCGGAUUUACUGGGCGUAAAGCGUGCGUAGGCGGCUUUUUAAGUCGGAUGUGAAAUCCCUGAGCUUAACUUAGGAAUUGCAUUCGAUACUGGGAAGAUAGAGUAUGGGAGAGGAUGGUAGAAUUCAAGGUGUAGCGGUGAAAUGCGUAGAGAUCUGGAGGAAUACCGAUGGCGAAGGCAGCCAUCUGGCCUAAUACUGACGCUGAGGUACGAAAGCAUGGGGAGCAAACAGGAUUAGAUACCCCUGUAGUCCCUGUCUCUUAUAC